RNAcentral lists this transfer RNA (65 nucleotides) under Dipodomys ordii (Ord's kangaroo rat). It matches the Rfam family "tRNA". From Rfam's summary of the family: Transfer RNA (tRNA) molecules are approximately 80 nucleotides in length. Their secondary structure includes four short double-helical elements and three loops (D, anti-codon, and T loops). Further hydrogen bonds mediate the characteristic L-shaped molecular structure. tRNAs have two regions of fundamental functional importance: the anti-codon, which is responsible for specific mRNA codon recognition, and the 3' end, to which the tRNAs corresponding amino acid is attached (by aminoacyl-tRNA synthetases). tRNAs cope with the degeneracy of the genetic code in two manners: having more than one tRNA (with a specific anti-codon) for a particular amino acid; and 'wobble' base-pairing, i.e. permitting non-standard base-pairing at the 3rd anti-codon position. Lineage: Eukaryota; Metazoa; Chordata; Mammalia; Rodentia; Heteromyidae. The record is from Rfam by way of RNAcentral.
GGUGGCUCAGUGGUAGAGUGCUUGCCUUGCAUGCAUGACGCCCUGGGUUCGAUUCCCCAGCACCA